AAUCAACGCUGGCGGCGUGCCUCAGACAUGCAAGUCGAACGCGAAAGUCCCCUUCGGGGGACAAGUAGAGUGGCGCACGGGUGAGUAACACGUAGGUAAUCUACCUUUGGAUGGGGAAUAACAACCGGAAACGGUUGCUAAUACCGCAUAAUGCAGCGGCACCUAAUGGUGACAGUUGUUAAAGCGGGGGAUCGAAAGACCUCGCGUCUAAAGAGGAGCCUGCGGCGGAUUAGCUAGUUGGUAAGGAAUGGCUUACCAAGGCUACGAUCCGUAACCGGCCUGAGAGGGCGGUCGGUCACACUGACACUGACAUACGGGUCAGACUCCUACGGGAGGCAGCAGUCGGGAAUUUUGGGCAAUGGGCGAAAGCCUGACCCAGCAACGCCGCGUGAAGGAU
RNAcentral lists this ribosomal RNA (397 nucleotides) under uncultured bacterium. RNAcentral's name for it is "bacterial SSU rRNA". It matches the Rfam family "Bacterial small subunit ribosomal RNA", at positions 32 to 409 of the family's 1533-position model. The record is from RNAcentral.